ACUUGACUGUCUCUUUUGAAAUCGGCAGAAGGUCGAAGAAGUGUCCAGGUCCCUGGUUGGUUUGCUUAAAUGUGUUGAGAGCGAGUAAAUAUAAACAUUACUAAGUGUUUCGGCAACAUGUAAGUGUAGCUUUAGUUUGUGAUUCUAGUUAAGUCGUAGUGUUUAAAGCUGAAUAGUCACGUUAGCAUUUCCGCGAUGGGCCCCAAGCAGCCACGUGGAGAACACUGCGAUGGACUGUAUGAAAGACAAAGUGAAACAUGGUGGCCCUCACUCUGGUGGCUCUUUGAACUCAAUGAUGGACAAGUGGAGACUGAGAUGACAACCUUAUGAGCUGCCUGUGAUGCCAUGGAUUGUCCCUCCUCUUCCCAACUAAACCAGCUGACUGGACAGACUCAUUCCUUGCAGCAAAACGCCUGAGCCGCCCUAAGAUGUGCUGUAGUCAUGCAUUGAUUCAAAAACAUCCAACCCAACAGCUGACGAAGAACACUCACUUUGUGCAGCAAAACGCCUGUGAGCUGCCAUAAGAUGUGCUGUAGUCAUGAUGGGCUGGUUAAGCAUCCAACUCAACCAGCUGACGAAGAACACUCACUUUGUGCAGAAAAAAACCUGUGAGCUGCCCUAAGAUGUGCUGUAGUCAUGCAGUGCUGCACAUACUUCCAACCCAACCAGCUGACGAAGAACACUCACUUUGUGCAGGAAAACCUGUGAGCUGCCAUAAGAUGUGCUGCACAUACUUCCAACCAACCAACCAGCUGACAGAAGAACACUCACUUUGUGCAGAAAAAGGCCGUGAGCUGCCAUAAGAUGUGCUGUAGUCACGCAGUGCUGCACAUACUUCCAACUGAACCAGCUGACUCAAGAACAUGAAUUUUGUGCAGCAAAACGCCUGUGAGCUGCCAUAAGAUGUGCUGUAGUCAUGCAUUGCUGGUUAAGCAUCCAACCCAACCAGCUGACAGAAGAACACUCACUUUGUGCAGAAAAAGGCCGUGAGCUGCCAUAAGAUGUGCUGUAGUCAUGCAGUGCUGCACAUACUUCCAGCCAACUAGCUGACGAGGAACAUCAAUUUUGUUCAGAAAAAGGCCGUGAGCUGCCAUAAGAUGUGCUGUAGUCACGCAGUGCUGCACAUACUUCCAACUGAACCAGCUGACAGAAGAACAUCAAUUUUGUUCAGGAAAACCUGUGAGCUGCCAUAAGAUGUGCUGCACAUACUUCCAACCAACCAGCUGACGAAGAACACUCACUUUGUGCAGCGAAAGGCCUGUGAGCUGCCAUAAGAUGUGCUGUAGUCAUGAUGUGCUGGUUAAGCAUCCAACCCAACCAGCUGACUGAAGAACACUCACUUUGUGCAGAUGAUCGUGGGACUCAUGGACACUGAUCUGAAGGAGAACUUGUUUGUUUGAGAAACAGUUCACAUUGUAAAAAGACACUGAUCCAUUGAAAUAAAGUCCCAACUGCCUGAUAACUGGAA
Molecule: long non-coding RNA, 1468 nt
Organism: Gymnodraco acuticeps
Lineage: Eukaryota; Metazoa; Chordata; Actinopteri; Perciformes; Bathydraconidae
Exons: 14
Source: RefSeq, a predicted model, not a curated record